AGCGAACGCUGGCGGCAGGCCUAACACAUGCAAGUCGAACGAAGUCUUCGGACUUAGUGGCGGACGGGUGAGUAACACGUGGGAACGUACCUUUUGGUUCGGAAUAACACAGGGAAACUUGUGCUAAUACCGGAUAAGAUCUACGGAUGAAAGAUUCAUCGCCGAAGGAGUAGCCCGCGUAGGAUUAGCUUGUUGGUGAG
Molecule: ribosomal RNA, 200 nt
Filed under: uncultured bacterium
Lineage: Bacteria
Description: partial 16S ribosomal RNA
Rfam family: Bacterial small subunit ribosomal RNA
Source: RNAcentral